GAUGAACGCUGGCGGCGUGCCUAAUACAUGCAAGUCGAGCGAACAGAUGAGGAGCUUGCUCCUCUGACGUUAGCGGCGGACGGGUGAGUAACACGUGGAUAACCUACCUAUAAGACUGGGAUAACUUCGGGAAACCGGAGCUAAUACCGGAUAAUAUAUUGAACCGCAUGGUUCAAUAGUGAAAGACGGUUUUGCUGUCACUUAUAGAUGGAUCCGCGCCGCAUUAGCUAGUUGGUAAGGUAACGGCUUACCAAGGCAACGAUGCGUAGCCGACCUGAGAGGGUGAUCGGCCACACUGGAACUGAGACACGGUCCAGACUCCUACGGGAGGCAGCAGUAGGGAAUCUUCCGCAAUGGGCGAAAGCUUGACGGAGCAACGCCGCGUGAGUGAUGAAGGUCUUCGGAUCGUAAAACUCUGUUAUUAGGGAAGAACAAAUGUGUAAGUAACUAUGCACGUCUUGACGGUACCUAAUCGGAAAGCCACGGCUAACUACGUG
This 497-nucleotide ribosomal RNA is filed under the name uncultured bacterium. RNAcentral describes it as "partial 16S ribosomal RNA". It matches the Rfam family "Bacterial small subunit ribosomal RNA", at positions 28 to 507 of the family's 1533-position model. The record is from RNAcentral.